UUGCGCCGGUGAUGGUAACUCC
Molecule: unclassified non-coding RNA, 22 nt
Filed under: Mus musculus (house mouse)
Lineage: Eukaryota; Metazoa; Chordata; Mammalia; Rodentia; Muridae
Description: oocyte_clustered_small_RNA3570
Source: RNAcentral